Molecule: RNA transcript, 3835 nt
Organism: Conger conger (European conger)
Lineage: Eukaryota; Metazoa; Chordata; Actinopteri; Anguilliformes; Congridae
Gene name: inhibitor of growth protein 4-like
Exons: 9
Source: RefSeq, a predicted model, not a curated record
GAUGGCGGCUGGAAUGUACUUAGAACAUUAUCUGGACAGCAUAGAGAACUUGCCAUUUGAGCUGCAGAGGAAUUUUCAACUCAUGAGAGACCUGGACCAGCGAACUGAGGACUUGAAAGGGCAGAUCGACUCCCUGGCGCGGGAGUACACGGGCAACGCGCGGACUCUGUCUUCAGAGCAAAAGCUUUCCCUUCUGAGGCAGAUCCAGCAGUCUUAUGGCAAGUGCAAGGAGUUUGGGGACGACAAGAUCCAGCUGGCCAUGCAGACCUAUGAGAUGGUGGACAAGCAUAUCCGUCGACUAGAUACUGACCUGGCCCGCUUUGAGGCAGACCUCAAAGAGAAGCAGCUCGAGAGUACUGACUAUGACUCUGCCUCCAGCAAGGGCAACAAGGAGUCACGAGCACUAAAAGACAAGAAGGUCGCCCGAACUCGGUCAAAGGUUAAGAACUCUGACGAUGACAGCAACCCCAAGAACGGGCAGAAGAAAGUCAAGCUCUUACACACGGCGGAGUUCACUGCCCCCACGGUCAACUUUGGGAACGUGCACCCCUCUGAUGUGCUGGACAUGCCAGUGGACCCCAAUGAGCCCACCUAUUGCCUGUGCCACCAGGUGUCGUACGGAGAGAUGAUCGGAUGUGAUAACACUGAUUGUUCCAUCGAAUGGUUCCACUUUGCCUGCGUUGGACUAACAACAAAGCCCAGAGGAAAAUGAACGUCUAAUGUGAAGCACUGUGUGACAGCUUGUUUGUGAAUGGCUACAAAUGAUACAAAAUUGAUAGAUUUCUAUUUCUAUCUGGUACUGCCCACGCUGUUCCCAGGAAAGGAAGAAAAAAUGAAGCGGAGGACAGCGAGCGAGGGAGGCCAGUUAUCGUACACUCUUAAGCAUUUGGUGCUUGUGUUCCAUUCCCUUCUUUCUGUAGCUGAAGUUCUAUGAUUAUUAUUAUCAUUUUUGAUUGUUAUUAUCAACUGACAGGAACACAAACAGCAUUAUGGACUGAUCAGCCAUUCCACUUCUUAUGCAUGGCUAUACUGUACCAGAUGAACUGGACUGUUACCGUGUUCUGUACUACAUUUUGUUUUUGUAUGUUCUUGUUAUGAACUGGCCCGUCACAUUUUUUCUUGAGCAGUAUGGACUGUAGAUUUGACCUGUUAGGUAAUUCCAUGUCAACUCAACACAAUUUUAUAUAUAUAUAUAUAUAUAUAUAUAUAUAUAUAUAGAGAGAGAUAUGAGUGAUUAUAAUCUGUCAUUACUUACCUGAAGCAUCACACGAUUGGAUCCAAAACCAGCCCUGGUUUUCUUUUUUAUUUUCUUGAAUGAUCCAAAACUGUGUGAUGCUGCUUCAGAUAAGUAAUGAUAUCUUGACAAUUUGAUAUUUGAUAAAAUAUAGGUUUCUUUGCAAAUCAGAUCUGAAGAAUAUAAUCACUCAUAACUCUGUUACCUUUCAUUUUGGGGUGAACAUAAUAUAUUUAUUCAUAGGUCGCAACCUAAGACUUAUGCAAAAAUCUGGGCACCCCUGGUAAAAAAAAAAAAAAAAAAAAAGGAAAAAAAAUUGUUUUAUAUUUGUGAACAAAAACUUUUUUAAGCAAGUAUUCUUUUUAUUUUAUUUUAUUAGAAUUUCAAAAAAGGAAAAAGGCCCUAUGUUUGGGAGCCCUUUCAGUUAGCACUUUCUAACUCCUCCUCCUCCUAUUUUCCCCCAUUCUUCCUGGCAGAACACCUCUUGCUCUGAACUAUUCUUCAGCCUCCUUGCAUGUAUGGCAUGUUUGUGGCCAUUCCGAAACCUUCCUGGAGGUACUUCAGAGUUGAUUUUGAAGUAUGCUUGGGAUCAUUGUCUUGAGGGAAUACCCAACCUCUUUUCAACUUCAAUGGCUGGACUGACCAUUGAAUAUUAGCCUCCAGAAUUUCCUAAUAUUUGGAGGAAUCAUUCUUCCUUCCCCUCGUACAAUAUUCCCUGUGCUCCCAGCUGCCACACAACCCCAAAGCAUAACUGUCAGUACUUAACAGUUGGCUAUGUGUUCCUCUUUAAAAAGGCUUUACCCUUUUUUCAAAGCAUACAUUCUUUGGUGGUCUCCAAAAAGUUCAAUUUUUGUUUCGUCAGCCCAAAGCACUCUGUUCCAAAAGGCAUGUUCUCAUGUUCUCAAAUGACAUGUAGGUCUUUGCUGUUUAUUGUCCUGUGCACAGCUAGAUCUCUUUAUUGCAGCUCUUUUGCAGUGAUGUGUGGGUUCUGACCAUUUCUCACCAGGUCUCGGGCCAUUCUAUCUGAGCUUUUUGUUGUAGCCUUCUCCUUCAUGGUGGAAAUUGACCAUGUUCAUUCUGACAUCCUUGGACAACUGUCUAUUGGAACACGUGGUUGUUAUCGCCAGACAGAACAGCCACUGCUGUUGGACACUUUAGAAGGCAUAGAUUUGCUUCAGAAAAAUUAGUUCAGCCCUAGAAUUAUAUUCACCUGACUCAUUGAAGCCCUAACAGGUAAAUCACCUGGGUCUGGGCCUUAGUAAUCAUCUUUUUAAAAAGUAACGAAGUAUAAUCCAAAAUGGUUCCCAACAGGCUAAGAUGCAGCGAACUUUGCUGUUGCAGUUGCACACUGAGGACCGGGGUUCGAUUCCCGGUCCUGCCAAAGGCUGAGUUUGGCCGGCUCACAUGGAGCGCCAAAAUUGGCUCGCCGCUCCAAGGGAGGGGGGAGGGGUCAGUAGGGGGAGGCUCACCGCUUACAACAACAGCGCCCUGAUCGCAUUGGAGUCACAAUCGCGGUUGGAGACGAUGUGGCUUGGAGAAGUAGAUCCAUUCCUGCUGCCGGGGGACCUGGUCGUAUGUAUGCGGUGAAUCCUGGACAACAUGGGUAACUGGUAUAGAUUGGCAACAGAAAAGAAUUACAUUUAAUUAAAUUAAUGUUAAUGUUUUACAUUUACAGUUCAGGUUUUCUUCUUUUGACCAAGAUAUUAAUUGAAAAAGGCUUUUUGACCAGGGGAUUGUAUAAAGUGAUAUACGAACCAUUUCUCUACGGCCUACAGUAAUGGAGAUAGGGCAAGUCACGCAAAUUAGUGCAAAGCCUAUAUAUUCCAGAUUCCGUUUUGGUUGCAGGGGUUUCUUUGGCAUGCCAAAUCUAUAUUAAAUAUGCGUGACGAUGCGGUCCAGAAGUGUGUUGAGUUGACAUUGAAUUACCCUGUUGCUGUGCAAGCCAGUGUUUUUUAUGCAUAUUGACUGAGGAGUGAGGCAUUUAUCGGGUGCCGUUUUUCUUCAACAGUAACUGGAAUAACUUGACACGAUGACACAAUUUAAACUGAGACUAGGUCCUCGGUAAUGUUUUAUAGGUUCUCAAACAGGCCUCAUUUUUAUACUAAGCCUGGCUAUCAUUUUCCUCAGAGCAAACCAGUAGCAAGUUUGCUAGCUUGGCAAUUUUUUUAAAGAAUGAAAAGAAGUUGCCAAAUGCUUGUUUUUUUAUUAAAUUUUUAAAGCAAAAGCAAGCAUGUGGUUAAUUCCAAUAUGGUCUUAUUGUCAUCACUGCAAGCAUCCAUGCAGUGUAGUGUGAGGUCAGCUGUGACAUUGAUUGGUUUACCCCCCUCCAUCCCCUUACCCCAUAUCUAAAACAUUGUGGAGUAUAAGCCUUGUUAUUGAAUUUUCCUGAAGCUUGUGCUAUUCUGAAAAUGAGUUGCAAUAAACAAUGACAGUAGAUUUUACUACGUACUUACUGAAAACAAGGAACAUGUAUGGAACAAGUACAGUGGAAAUGCUGUGUGUAUUGAACUGAAAAAAAAAAACUACAUUUUAUUCUGAAAGUGAACCGUUUUAUUUUGUUACUGUACAUCUAUAAUAUAAUAAAAAUGUGAAAAUCAUAAA